RNAcentral lists this ribosomal RNA (770 nucleotides) under uncultured bacterium. RNAcentral's name for it is "bacterial SSU rRNA". It matches the Rfam family "Bacterial small subunit ribosomal RNA", at positions 30 to 791 of the family's 1533-position model. The record is from RNAcentral.
AGAAAGCCGGGCGGGCAUGCUUUACACAGGCAAGUCGAACGGCAGCACGGGAGCUUGCUCCUGGUGGCGAGUGGCGAACGGGUGAGUAAUAUAUCGGAACGUGUCCAAUAAUGGGGGAUAACUAGUCGAAAGAUUAGCUAAUACCGCAUACGCCCUGAGGGGGAAAGUGGGGGAUCUUCGGACCUCACGUUGAUGGAGCGGCCGAUAUCUGAUUAGCUAGUUGGUGGGGUAAAGGCCCACCAAGGCGACGAUCAGUAGCUGGUCUGAGAGGACGACCAGCCACACUGGGACUGAGACACGGCCCAGACUCCUACGGGAGGCAGCAGUGGGGAAUUUUGGACAAUGGGGGCAACCCUGAUCCAGCCAUGCCGCGUGAGUGAAGAAGGCCUUCGGGUUGUAAAGCUCUUUCGCAAGGGAAGAAACGAUUUAGACGAAUAAUCUAAGUUAAUGACGGUACCUUGAUAAGAAGCACCGGCUAACUACGUGCCAGCAGCCGCGGUAAUACGUAGGGUGCGAGCGUUAAUCGGAAUUACUGGGCGUAAAGCGAGCGCAGGCGGUUCUGUAAGUCAGAUGUGAAAUCCCCGGGCUCAACCUGGGAACUGCGUUUGAAACUACAGGGCUAGAGUAUGGGAGAGGGGGGUAGAAUUCCACGUGUAGCAGCGAAAUGCGUAGAGAUGUGGAGGAAUACCAAUGGCGAAGGCAGCCCCCUGGCCUAAUACUGACGCUCAUGCUCGAAAGCGUGGGGAGCAAACAGGAUUAGAUACCCUGUA